Long non-coding RNA from Oncorhynchus tshawytscha (Chinook salmon), 3283 nucleotides. NCBI's taxonomy places the organism in Eukaryota, Metazoa, Chordata, Actinopteri, Salmoniformes, Salmonidae. The record is from Ensembl.
AUGAUGGUGCCACUUUCUAACACCUGUUCAUUCUCUCUCUCCCUCUCUCACUCUCACUCUCUCUCUCUCGCUCACUCGCUCUCUCCCUCUUUCCCUCUUUCGCUCUCUCUCGCUCUCCCUCUCGCUCUCUCUCUCUCCCUCUCUCACUCUCUCUCUCCCUCUCUCACUCUCUCUCUCUCUCGCUCGCUCUCUCUCUCGCUCGCUCCCUCCCUCCCUCUCUCUCUCCCUCACUCGCUCUCUCCAGGCAUGCAGAAACCACCAGUUGCCCCCAAACCAAAGAAUGCCCAGCCACAGAGGCCAGGACCCUCCCCCUCCUCGACCCCCAAAAGAGAUGGCCUUUUUCAGGCUUCCCUCUGUACACCAAAGACGGUUAAACCAGCUCUGGCCCCUAAACCACCAUGCCUACCCAAACCAUUCCUCACCACUUCUGUGGAGUCCAAACCACCAUGCCUACCCAAACCAUGCCUCACCGCCACUAUGGAGUACAAACCUCUUUCCUCAAAGACUGUCCAUCACCAUCAGACUUAUUCUCAGAGACCAUCGGAGAUGUCUACAAGUAUAGGUCUUCUGAAGUCCAGGAAUACAAUACCUGAUUGGGAUAAUAUUAUUCCUAUCUGUCUGUGUAGCCAGAAGAACUGUCUGUGUGUUGGGAACAGUAUCACAACGGACACAGUGAUUAACACAAUUCCUAAAGACUUGAAAACAUUGCAUAACAAUUGCAAAACGGAGGAAUCUAGAAUAAAGCCUGUUCUCAGAUCUCGAUCUGGAGUGAACAAAGGGGUCAACAACAACAAGAGGAAAGUAGUCAACAACGCUCUACCAGACAAUUGCGUACAGGUUGUGUUGCUGUCCACCAAUAACCACCUCUUAAACCCGAAACAGAACCUCAACUCAGACAUUGUGACGCCAUCAUCACGCCCUGACAUAAAGCGCCCUCUUCCUCAGAGAACGCAUAGCAAUGAAGCCAACGGUAACGUCGUCUCCACCUCCUCUAAUGCCAUUGGUCACGGAGAACAGGAAGAUCCCACCAGCUCCACAGGGAUUGGCAGAGACACUGGCACAUCCAAUCAGAACCCAGCUGCCCCUAAGAAGCCCCUCCCUGUCCCCGUACCACGGAAACCCAGGAAGUCUGUUCUGGUUGGACAGGAAGUCCCAGAGGAGGGGAGGCAAGGGAGGGAAAUGACUGUCAGAAAGGUGUCACUGGAGAGGAAAAGCAGCCCAUCUCUGUCUGUCAACGCACCUGCUACUCAGGCACACAACAUCCCAGAAAGUCCUGCCAGUACAAAUGAUAGCUGGGAGGGUCUCCCAUCCUCCAGGACACCCGGCCCGCCACCUGUUCCUGCUCCCCCUCCCAGAAAGGAAGCCUUUCUUUCUGAACCUGAGAGAGCAGCACCGACCUCCUCUGCCACCUCCUCUCAGCACCUCCUCCCCACCUCCUCCCCUCUGCACCUCCUCCCCUCCUCUUCCUGUCUGCACCUCCCUCAGGAUGUAGAGGAGGAAGAGCUGAGAUGGGUGGAUGACGGUGUCUAUGAACUGGAGUGUUCAGUGGACAAGGAAGAGGAGGAGGAAGGGAGGAAUGAAGAGGAGGAGAUCCAUGAUAAGACUGGUUGCGAGAGGAUGACAACUAGUCUUUCCAACCAGCUGGAGCUCAGCUCCAACUGCCACUUUCCCCUCACCUUAAUAACCACUGGGAGUUACAAAGAAAACGCAAGUGCUCAAAACAAGAUGGCCGGCUUCCCCAAGAAACUGCAGAGACGCAGCUCCCCAGCAGCGUGGGUACUGAAGAAUGAACUGUCAGAAGAGAGAGAAGUGGAGGAACGAAAGACUUCCGAUAGUGACGAUGAUGGAGGUGCCCUCACCAAGGCCACGAAAGCUAUGAGAAAGCUCCCUGCAACCCCAGGAGAGGAUAAACCAAAAAGGAACAGAAUCUUUCAGACGCUGGUGUCUCCUGUAUCCCGUAAGAGGAGCACAGACAACACACAGACAAAGGGCAGCUUGCCAACAGAUGAAACGCUGUCACCGUCCAAGCCGUCUCGCUCCAGCCGGGGGAAACAGAAGGCCAAGUCCUUCUCCUCUGCCGACCUGACCCCCUCUGAGGGACAGAAACGGAACUCUUUUCGGAGGCUUCUCGAUCUGAAACUCUCUGUCAAGAGGCUGCCCAAGCUGCUAGCCAAGGGAGGCCAGUCUCUAGACAGCACUGCAGCUGAGGCAGAACAAUAUGCGGAUGAUGUAUUCCAAGACCGUGGCGUCUGUUUCCAGGAACGCAUGGGCAUUCGAGUGGGGGAUGCCCGCAAGUUCUCCUGUCCCCAGCUGGGGGUGAUUGGGGUUGGGGCGGAGCAGAGCGUGGACGGGGAUGAGAUCCACUACCCCGGAGCGGAGCAGGCUGUGGAGUAUGAAAAUGUUCCCUAUUACGAGGCCAUACCUGAAUAUUUUAUCCAGCCUGUUGGACUGGGAUUACGGGGGAGUGAGCUCGGGGUGGGUACACCACCGGACCAGUCGGAGUGCCACAACCACCUGUAUGAUGAUGCCGAUAUCUAUGAGGAACAGGAGCCGUACCAUCCCCUGAAGAGACACAGUGAACACAGCAGCACUGAGGAAUUCUUCUAUGAGGAACAGGAGCCGUACCAUCCCCUGAAGAGACACAGUGAACAACAACUGAACCAGCACAGCAGCACUGAGAGGAGUUCUAUAGAUGAGGAUGUUGGCCCGCUAGAUGAAGGUCAGUCGGAUGAAGACGUCAUGGUUCAGAGUUCAGAUGAAGAGGAUGAUGAGAGUUCCUCCUCUAGCAAAGGAGAAACUGAGAAGCCUGAGGAGAGGGAGGUGAGACACUGAGGAGAGGGAGGUGAGAAGCCUGAGGAGAGGGAGGUGAGACACUGCGGAGAGGGAGGUGGAGGACACUGAGACGCCUGAGGAGAGGGAGUGAGACACUGAGGGAGGGAGGUGAGACACUGAGAAGCCUGAGGGAGGAGGUGAGACACUGAGGAGAGGGAGGUGUGGACACUGAGGAGGGAGGUGAGACACUGAAUGUGCCACUUAGCAGACGUUCUCUACACAUGUAAAGGGACUUACGGUAACGUCACACAUGCAUUUCUAGGAUCUGAUCCCUGGCGUAUUGAAACCAAUAACUUUGGUGAAUGUAGUGAUUUAUUUGACAUGUUUGUACCUGUGUCCGUGCAGGCUGGCGUGGUGCCAAGCGGAACAAGAUAGUCCACAUCGCCAGAGAGAUCUGAGCUCCGAGAAUGUUUUCAACGUCUGAAGCUUCUCCAUAUGGUGGUAUUCUGGC